Epinephelus lanceolatus (giant grouper) is the source of this 2910-nucleotide non-coding RNA. NCBI's taxonomy places the organism in Eukaryota, Metazoa, Chordata, Actinopteri, Perciformes, Serranidae. The record is from RefSeq and is a predicted model, not a curated record.
GGGGCAGAGGGAAGAGGCACUUUCCAGCAGCAAGUCCUGUUCCUGCCAAGAGGCCUAAACCAUUGGAUGUGGCUUUCUAUUUGUUGCCAAAGCAAUGUGAAAAAACCCCAAAAGAGCAGGAGCAAUUAGUCCAUAUGCGUGCAGGACUGGGCCGUAGGACUGCUCAUCAAGAUGAAAGCACAACACAUGAAGAGUUAUGUGAUGCCCUCAAAGUUUUAUUCCCAAAAUUAGGAACAAUUACCGGUGGAUGGCUACUAUACAAAUCUUCAGGUGGAUGGGGUAGCCGACAGCUGUCUCUUGUGACUCCCGAUGAUACCGGCUAUACAGGCAUGAUGUUGAAGUCUGUAACUCGUGGGGCUAAAAAUCUAUUCAUUGCCCCAAUUCAAGAGGAACUAAGUACAAAUCCCCUACCAUUGACUGAUGAAGCAUUCAGUAACAUGCCAAAAGCUGCAUGUCAGAAGUGUGAAGUUGCAGUUCCCCUUCCGCUCCUGACAGAACACAUCAAAUCUUGUAACGUCAUAGAUGUUGACAGUGACGACAACCUGGCUAAUGUGGAUAUCAGUGAGCCUGAAGAGAGAGACUCAGACAUGCAGGAAUGUCCUGUCUGCAAAAAUAUGUUUCCUGCUGACUCCAUCGAGGUACAUGCUUCGUCAUGUGUGGAAAGGCUGGUUAACUGUCAGUGACCCCACCAAGGCCACAUCUCAGUGUGCUGACAGUUUUCGACGUAUUCAUGAAACAAAGAGUCCCUUACUUCUCAGCAUGGACAUCAGAAAAAGCCCUGCUGAGCAGGACAUGGCACUUGUCUCCUUCUAUAAACAACCUAAUGUGGAAUGGGGACGACCCCUGAAUUGCAGACUUGAAGGAGAUACUGCUAUUGGACAUGGUGUAACUCGUUUUUUUUUCUCCACAUGCAUGGAGAAGCUGAGGUCAGGCUUUUGCAUCAAUUUUGGUAUGUAUGUAAUAGAAUCCUUCCAAAUGCAAGCUGUAUUACCUUUUUUUUAAUUAUUCUGUCCAUAAAGGUUUAUGGUAUUUUGCUUUAUCCUGAAAGUUCAAAGGGUUCUUCUAAAUGUAUAAUGCCUGUAUUGAUAAUAUCUCUGACUCUGGAAUGAGGCCUAUUUCUUUGUUGUUCUUAAUUCAAAUUUUUGAUAUCUUGACAGCAAAUUCAAGUCUUACUGGGCUUUUUGAAGGACAGCCGGGCCAUUUAGUUCCCUCAGCCUCUCACUUUCUUGUGGAAAGUGACAUGUUCAUGGUGGCGGGUUGAAUGAUAGGCCUCUCCUUUCUUCAUGGAGGACCACGCCUACAGGGACUCAGCCCUGCUGUUAUUCAUGUCUUGUUUGGUGGAAGUCCUGACACUGCAACAGUGACACUGGAGGACUGUCCAGAUCUGGACAUUAGAGAAACCAUCAGGAUUGUAUGUUUGAUUAAAAAAAAGUUUUUUCUUUCAGUAAUAUGUUAAGUACAAUGGGCCGCCCUUUUAUUGUGUAUCCAUUGUCCCUUAUGAAUGAAAUUUAUAUGACUUAUUGUCUUGAAGCUUGAAGGGGGAUCCAUACUGUCCGAUAAGGAUAAACAAAGUGUCCAGGACUUGGCCUAUGCGUGGGACCUCCCUUCCCUAACUGACAACAACAGGAGGUGGCUGUUUGAAAAGCUGUUGAUACAUGCAGUACUAGGUCGUGUUAUGAGGCAAAUUAAGCAGCUGAGACGAGGCAUUAAAGAAACCCCAAUGUGGACACUGGUGACCCAAAGACCUGACACAGUGGCCUUGCUUUUUCCUAAAGACACGGCAGGGAAUGUCAGCGCUGAGGUCCUUCUUCAGCGUAUCACAUGGCCUCCUGAGGGUGGCAGCGAUGAUGACGAUUGUUCAGUUGAAACAACAUGCCGCAUGUCAGGGUAUCUAAGACAGUUCAUAGGUGAAGCAACACCAACUGAACUGACCAACCUGGUCAAAUUCUGGACCGGAUGGGAGGUUCUACCACCAAGUCUCUCUGUCGAAGUCGUCGAGAGCAGAUACCUCACAGCCUCCACCUGCUUUGAGACCUUGAGCAUCCCAGGGCAUUACAAGAACUACACAUCUUUUAAACGUGACAUCCUGGCAUGCAUUAGCACUUGCCAUACAGGAUUUGGUCUUGUCUGAGUGGCAUCUGGACCUGUACACAUGUCAGAUAAGAUUGUUAAAGUAAUUUGUUGAUGUUUUAUGCUUGUUAGCUGUCAAGUGUUCAGGUUCAUCUGACAGUAUGGAGUUGUUGUAUUUGUAGAACUGUAACUUCAACUGUAACACACAUAUUUCAGACCAUGUACUGGAGAUUCCUUGCUGUCCUUACUCUGGUUUGACACACCUGAUGUUGAAAAUAUUCAAGUUGUUAAAAGGUGGACUUAUACUUAUUUUAUUUUCAGUGUUACACAGUUGCAAUUUCUUCGCAUCGUUACAAAACAUCUCAAGCUCAGUUUUCAUAGAAAAAUGUAAAGUAUUUAGUCUUGUCUGAGUGACAUCUCAACCUGUAUUUACACUUGUCAGUUAAGAUUGUUUAGGUAAAAUGUUGAUGUUUUUAUGCUUGUUAGCUGUCAAGUGUUGAGAUUCAUCUGACAGUAUGGAGUUGUUGUAUUUGUAGAACUGUAACCCGCAGAUUUCAGACCAUGUGGGAGAUUCCUUGCCAUCCUUACUCUGGUUCGACACAUCUGAUGUUGUAAAAAAUAUUCAAGUUGUCAAGGUGGACUUACACUGAUUUUAUUUUCACAAUUUUGUGCUUUGCUACAUUACAUUGUUAUUAUUACAUUACAUUACAUCUCAACCUCAGUUUUCAUAAGAAAAUGCGGUAUGUUAAGUUACAUGCAUUUUAUGAUUGACAGCUUAAUGUAUUCCUUGUAACAAUUUCUGCGCUUUAAUAAACCAUUAAUGCAAGAGUUUAAAGUGCA